AACGAACGCUGGCGGCAGGCCUAACACAUGCAAGUCGAGCGAGGUAGCAAUACCUAGCGGCGGACGGGUGAGUAACGCGUGGGAACGUGCCCUUUUCUACGGAAUAGCCUCGGGAAACUGGGAGUAAUACCGUAUGUGCUCUUCGGAGGAAAGAUUUAUCGGCAAAGGAUCGGCCCGCGUUGGAUUAGGUAGUUGGUGAGGUAACGGCUCACCAAGCCGACGAUCCAUAGCUGGUUUGAGAGGAUGAUCAGCCACACUGGGACUGAGACACGGCCCAGACUCCUACGGGAGGCAGCAGUGGGGAAUCUUAGACAAUGGGCGCAAGCCUGAUCUAGCCAUGCCGCGUGAGCGAUGAAGGCCUUAGGGUUGUAAAGCUCUUUCAGUGGGGAAGAUAAUGACUGUACCCACAGAAGAAGCCCCGGCUAACUCCGUGCCAGCCGCCGCAGUAA
This 449-nucleotide ribosomal RNA is filed under the name uncultured bacterium. RNAcentral describes it as "partial 16S ribosomal RNA". It matches the Rfam family "Bacterial small subunit ribosomal RNA", at positions 29 to 523 of the family's 1533-position model. The record is from RNAcentral.